Ctenopharyngodon idella (grass carp) is the source of this 9614-nucleotide long non-coding RNA. RefSeq lists it as uncharacterized. The transcript has 2 exons. The record is from RefSeq and is a predicted model, not a curated record. NCBI's taxonomy places the organism in Eukaryota, Metazoa, Chordata, Actinopteri, Cypriniformes, Xenocyprididae.
UGGACAGAGAGGGUAGGGGAGAAAACGGGAGAGAGACAAAACAAACAAAUAAAUGGACAACAUUAGCAGACAAUCCAACAUGCGCACGAAACUUUCACCGUCCUGUCUGUGCAGGAAAUCCACCUAAUCGAGCCACUAUCUGUGCUUUGGCCAAAACACUCCAAAUGUGCCAAACAGUACAAAUACAAUCAAAAACAGUGAGAAAUGGAUCAAACCGGACACACUCACAUCCCAUGGCAGGAUUUUUAGCUGCGGCUGGCAUUACAUUGGUCAUUCCACAGAGAGGCUUUCCCAUCGCACUAUACCUAUGAGCCAUACGGAUCCACGAUUCUGUUUAAUACCACUGCUAAGCUUUGCCAUAUCAAACUCAGUUACUAACUGUAAGCUCAUUCAGAUUGUCACAUGACUCUUUAGUCGGCCUCCCCCAACUCUGAUCAGUUCAACGAAAGCUACGGCUCUUUAGACUGACAGCAAGAUUGAUAUUCAUGUAUUUUAAUACACUACCAGUCAAAAGUUUGGAAUAAUUAAGAUUAUGAUUUCUGAAGGAUCAUGUGACACUGAAGACUGCAGUAAUGAUGCUGAAAAUUCAGCUUUGAUCACAGAAAUAAAUUACAGUUUACAAUAUAUUCACAUAGAAAACAGCUGUUUUAAAUUGUAAUAAUAUUUCACUGUUUUUACUAUAUUUUCGAUCAAAUAAAUGCAGCCUUGGUGCGCAGAAGAGACUUCUUUCAAAAACAUUAAAAAACCUUACCAACCCUAAACUUUUGAACGGUAGAGUAUAUUUUAUAUACAUGAAAAGAAUAUAUCCCUGUAAUUCCUAUGUCUGAAAUUUCCAUAUUCUGCAGAAACACAAAGAUUAAUUAUGACUAUAAAAAUAAACUCUUACAGAAAGCAUGUCAUCGUCCGUGCAUGUGUGUGUGUGUUUGAGUAGGAGUAUUAUGAGGAGCUUCUGCGACUGAAGAGUGCAGACUAGCAUGUGUUCCCAACGGCUGAUGACUAAUCAAAAGAAGUGGAUGGAUGAAUAUACUCUGAGUACUGAGAAGGGUUUUUAACUCUUUCCCUGCCAUUGAUGGAAUUUCAGGCAAUCCAUGUUUUCACUGUUAUAUGGUAGGGGGCGCUAUUACGCACCUUCUGAAAGUGUACAGAAUCUCUGGAUCAAAACACAGGCGAAGAAGAAGCAGAAACAAGCGAUAGAAACAUUGCUGACGCACAAAAAUGACACGAUAAUCCAAGAUUAAACAGCAUAUAAAUCAAAGCUGCCUAACAUUACUGAAUGAAAUGUUGAAAUGUUGGUUGCGAAUCAGACUGCAGUCAGUGCAAAGGUCAGCUGGUCAAUAAUUCUGACUUAUUAUUAGACUAAGUGAGCAUGUUCGAAUCAUUAAAAUUUAAUCAUUGAAAUAAUUACCUUACCUCCACAUUUUUCAGAAUCUCCUAGAGUUUUUGAUAAAUAUUAGUGGUCAGUCAAGGCAUCACUAUUUACACCCGGUAUUACAGCCACCAUGAAAUCAAAAAAUGAUUUAAUAAUUAAUUCACAUUAGGACUUUUCACACUUGAAAUAGUUAACCCCGAGUCAUUCUAAACACCGGGUAAACAGAAUCCUGGGUUAUCUUUAUUCAUGUUUCACACUGGUCAUAAUUAACCCGGGGUUAACAAUUAAUCCUGGUUAUUCAUAAGCUGAAGUUUCACAUUGUACAUUCCUAAACCCUGGGUUAAUGUUCUUAUUUGCAUGUUUGUGGUGUCAGUGUCAUUGAUUGGAGGAACGCAGGAUGUGACCUGUUUACAUAAAAUCCUCAUAUUAAUAUUGCCGACUUUACUAUCGAGUUUAUACUGAAUGGACUAUAAAGGCAAGAAUAAAAUGGUUUGUCAGCAUUUGACUCUUUUCCUCUCAAAUGCUGAAUUUCCUGUUUAUAUACAAUGCGCAGUGUUUCCGUGACUGUCCAAAUCACGCAAAUAUGAGGCACGUGAUUGGUUGCCUGUUGCUAAGUGUCUAGAUGUAACAUUCUAACACUGCAUCGUUUUACACUGUACAAGUCUGGCACCGUAAUGCGGGGUUAACACCACAAAAAUGGGUCUAAUCCGGAGCAGGUUUUCAUAACCCCUGGGUAAAAAGCGCUGCUAACCCCGCUUCUAAAUUACAAGUGUGAAACGUUCCUUUACCCGGGGUUAAAAGCGGUGUUUAUAACGAUGAUAACUCAGGGUUAAGCGCAGUGUGAAAAGCCCUAUUGUGUUAAAUUCAUGUGCCUCGUGAGAUGCCAGGUACAUCCAAGAUAUUAUGUCUAGUCUGAAAGUCUUGUGCAUGUCUUAAAUUUAUUAAUUUGAUUGCUUCUUUCUUUUAGCGCUCACCAUUUCUGAUUGGAUCACCACAGAUGGGUAUUAAUAUCAGAUGUAAGAUGAUCUUGCCUAUUUAAAUGAGUCAUUCUAGUUUAGCACACUUGUGUUUCCAGGCAACUAAAGGUAUAAUAACACGAUAUCUGUACACCUGUACUACUGUCACAUAAACCUAAAACUGGAUGAAGAAAAAGUGAUAACCCCUGAAAUUUGCCAGUUUUCUGUGUGCACAUCCGUUAACUCUGUGGUGAGAUGAGUAGCGAUGAUGAAUCACGAGAAUUAGCUCAAUUGUAAUUAAUGCAGUUACAGCCAGUGAGAUGAUUGUGAGAACUCUCUUAAAAGCGUGACGAUUGCAGGAGGUGAAACUAUCAAUCCAUUAGUAAAAUGACCUUCUCUGAGCUGCUGAUGUGGGAGAGCAAAUCUGCCCUCAGCUGUACAAACGUUUAUCCCGACACAGAUACUGAAUUCAAAAUUGAUGAGGGGGGAAAUGUAAAAAAAGCAAACAAGGCAUUAACAUUAAAAAUAUUAUAAACCAACACGUGUCGGCAGACAAACUGCCUUCAUCAGGGCAUAAAAGAAAAGACCAAAUCAAUCCAGCAUCAAGACACUCAAAACGUGCAGAACUGUUUAUACUAUAUUUUUAAUAGUCUUGUAUAUUAGUAUGUGGUCUGGUUAGUUUUUGUGUAUAUUUAAAAGUAUAAUAUUUAUGAGUGUAUCAUUGGUGUAUUUUUCAUAUAUAAGGUAUAAUAUUUAUAUUUAAGGUAUAACAUUCAUAUUUAUGACUGUAUUAUUGCUGCACUUUUUUAUAUUUAAGGUAUUGUCACUGUCAUGUUCUGUUUGGUUUAGUUUUCCCUGUCACUAAUUGCCUGAGUUCUUGUUCAUUGUUUGUUGUCAUGGUUUCUAAUUAGUUUCCCACCUGUGCCUUGUUCUGUUGAUUAUCAUUCCUGUGUAUAUAUAAGUCCUCAGUUCUCUUUGUUCUUUGUUUGGUGUUGUCAACAUUAAUGUAUAGUGUACUAAGACUUUCUCUGUGUUCAUUAAAGUCUCCCUGUUUCUAUUGAUCAUUCUGCAUUAUGCUUCGUUCUUGGAUUUAUACUACACAGCGUUACGUGACAGAACACUGAACCCAAAACAUGGAUACAGCAGCACCAUUUAUUGCCAUUGGCCGUAAAGGUCUUCUUUUGAUGGAUUACUCUGUCCGGUUCUGUGAGUUAGCCCAGCGCUCCUAUCUAGAUGGUGUCACCUUAAAAUCUAUUUUUCAGGAUGGGAACAAAUUAAUGUGGCCCACUGGCACUGCCAGUUUUGGAGAAUUUUACUUAGUAAGAAGCCAUUCUCCGUUGCUUUGAAUGUUUCUACCCUUUGUCAAUGACUUUGCCCACAAACCCCACUGACCCAGAACCAGAACCCAGCCAAAACCUCCACACGCCCACCACGAAUCCAGAGCCAGUGCCUAAGCCCACUAAGGACCCAAUACCAGAGCCCACCGCAGACCCAGAGCCAACUCCAGCUGAGUCUAACCAGUGAGCUGGUGUCCACCCAGCUCAAGUCUGAGCCAUUAUUCGUCCCAGAGCCAGAACCUGCACUCUCUAUGUGCAUGGACAGCGAACCAGAGCCCACCGUGUGUGAGCUGGUAUUUAUGUCCAUCCCUGAGGGAGUGUUGGUAGGGGUGGACCUUGUGGAGCAGAGUUCCAUCCAUUCCCCUUAAAUAUAUUCUCUAUCAUGUGUACUCCUGGAUACCUUCAGCACCUUGGCUCCUCCUUCAGUGGCUCUGCCCAACUGCUUGGAUCUGCCUUGAGCUUCCAGGUCUCCAGCUCUGCCGUAGUGUGUCAAUCCCUUGGCUCCGCCAUGGGCCUCCGAGCACUGGACUCCACCUCGGCCCUCCAACCCAUUGGCUCCACCUCAGCCCUCCAACCCAUCGGCUCCACCUCAGCCCUCCAACCCAUCGGUUCCACCUUGGCUCCACGCUCCCUCAGCUUCACCAUAGUCCGUCAUCCCUCCGGCUCACCUUUGAUCAAUCUUCGCUCUGGCUCUGCUUCAGACGUCUGGACUUCCAGAUGCGCUUCAACCCUCAAUCCCCAUGGUUCCGCUUUCCCUCUGGUUUCGCCAUUGUCAUCAGUUCCACCAUCUCCGCCCAGGUCACGCACACCUGCGUCUUCGCCUUGGCCCGCCAGGCAUAGAGUCAACCUGGGUCCUCUCCUCCACCUCUGUUUGUCUCUGAGGUUCCGUCAUGGGCCUUCAUCCUGGCUCUUCUCUGGCUCCUCCCUUCAUCGUCUCCUUCCUGGUUCUUUCCUUAAUCGUCUUCUCCGUGGGGUUUCCCUCUGCCAGCUCCUCCAAGGUUUUAUCUGUCUACAGCACCUCGUCCAUCUCCGGUACCCCCUUCUUCCAUGCUCUGUUGGACCUAUUGCGGCUCGAGUAUGCACCUUUCGGGAGGGGGAUGUACUGUCAACGGUCAUGGUUUUGUUUUCCCCAUCUCCAAUUUUGGUAUUUAUAAGGUAUAAUAUUUAUAUUUAUGGGUGUAUUAUUGGUGCAAUUUUUAGGUGACCUGUCAUCAACUUUUGCAACCCCACCUUUUGAAAAUAAUUUGUUGCCAAAGUACUUUUUUACUUAAUCCUCUUCGUCCCAUGUGAGACAUAAGACUGCCAAAGUAACUUUCUUAACUAAGUCACUUUUUUUUUUUUUUUUUUUUUACAGAUAAUGAUUUGUUUGUUCUUUAAAAAUAAAUAAAUAAAUUUACAAAUAAUUACAUUUCUCAUGAACAUUGUAGUUCCACGAACCCUUUGUUUUGCUCAAAGUUGAUACUUCAUACUUGAGCUUUGAUAACUCCAUUUCACCAUACAAAGCCUGCAGAAGGCUUUGCCUAUUUUACGGGUAUCAUCUGGAUGGACGUAUAAAUAAACUCUAAUUGCGGUUUAAAUGCUGGAAUGUGCUGCUCGUGGAUCUUCUCUUAUGUACGACAGCUUGUUGUUGCCAGUUUCAGAUCCAUCAAAGUUACUCUCCACGCCAACAGCCAAAACCUGACAUCACCAUAUCAAUGACUGCAGAGCAUGAGCUGGGCAAGACCUGAAGUGGUCAUAUUUUUAGUCAUGAGGUCAUAAGAACCCCCCAUUAGCACCUUAAGGGAAACCCCCAGCAACAAGGGACUCCAGCAAACGGGCUCGGGUUUAUUUUGAGCGGAUCGGACAGUUUGGGAAGCUGAAGGCCACAUGCCAGUAUGAGACACAUUAUUCCACACAUGGUCUUGUAAGUGGGUCAUUUGCAUUAGCAAGCUGCCAGCUCUCAAAAAUUAACUCCUGAUCUAAACUAUCAUGCGUAUAUAUGUGUAAGAUAUUUGCUGAAGACGGUGCAUUUUUGUGAACACCAAAUGUACUAUAGCAGACUUUGUUAUAGUACUUGUGGAUUCUUUAAGAGCGAGUCAAUUGCAACCUGAUUACGGUAAAAUUACACUUCGAAAUCAAAAGGAAGGAAUAAGAAAUUAUAUUAAAUAUUUUGCAUGAAUGAUGAAGAAAAUGAAGCCUAUUCUAGGACCAUUACAAUGUUUUGCAGUGGGGCAUUAUGUUCAUGAAGAUCAACCCCUUAUGGCCCAUUAUUUCAUUUUCAUAUAUUGUAAAAUGUACAAAAAUUAGUAAAAAAAAAAAAAAAAAAAAUCAACAAAUUAUUAUUUUGAGUCAGAUAUUUGCAAUGAAUAGGUUGAUCCAGUUCAUAAAACCAGUCGUUUAAGAAACACACUUAUCUGGUUCUCUUUGGGACUCAAAGAUUCAAUUGCAGUGAAUCUCGAGUUCAGACAGCUGUGAAUAACCGCUUGAAUGUCAGUCUGUUCCUCGCACAAAUAUGUAAGUGUACGAGCCUUUGAUGACACUUUCCUGCUGCUUUUGAGUCCCCAUUCACUGUUAUUGAAUGGAGAAGAGUGACUAUAUUAGUAUAUUACUAGCUCAAAGGAUGAGGAUGAGUUGAUUAUGACAUUAUGGCAUUAUGAGUUUUUGGAAGAGCUAUUCCAUUGAUUGACAAAAUGUAUUUAAGAAUGUGACUUGGACAUGUUUUUUUUUUUGUUGUGAGAUUCAGCCAGAAUCUCUGCAGUUAUACAUUCAUAUAAAUAGGCGUGUAUUUGCUGAUGUAGUGAACAGCUGUCCUCUGUGUGUGUGUGUGUGUGUGUGUGUGUGUGUGUGUGUGUGUGUGUGUGGUUGAAUGUCAAGCUGCAUAUAUGCCAGAUUGGUGUUGCAAUCUGUUGCAGGUCAUUUAUCUAGGUUAACAUUAGAGCGAGCGGCCAAGUAAAGUUGCUACUACUUACAUAUUUCAAAUGAUAAGCCAUAUUUGAGGUUGAUGGAUGAUAGGCGAACAUUUAGAUUUUCUGCCCAACACACUGUGAUUACCACAAGGACCCACCGUUUUCCAUUUUUUUUAAAUUUAAAUUUAAUGUUUUGCCAUGAUUUCGAUUUUAAUAAAAUAUAACAAUUUUAAUAUUAGCAAACUUUACUAUUAGACAUGUUGACAAUACAGCAAUGAUAACAGUUAAGAGAAAAAAAAAUGAUCUGACUGCAUGACGGUGCACCUGAUUAAGUCUGUGUGUGCACCAAAGUGUUUUUAACCAUCUGAAAACUCUUCUGAAAACGCCUUGCUGUAGGCGCUUGAGAGCGUUUUUUUUCAGUUGAGACACUAUAUUUGUUAUGAUACAGAAUAUCUGCGGAACUGCUACUAGUAUCUGAUUUCGCAAAUAGUUUGUUUCUGAAUAUAAAAAUGUCAACACAAUGUAACAUACUUGCUCUGGCACUAGUUUUGGAUGAAAAGAUGUGCUUGUUGUAGUUUGUUAUCAUUGUACAAACAGGAAGCGGCGGUUGGUCGCUGUUGUUUUUGUCCCGCCCCUCCUCGACAGUGAUGAUUGCUGAGUUUUACCUAAAGUUGAACAUUCUUCAACUCUUGGCAACCGGUAAAAACCACCAAAUGCUCAGUGUGAAAUAGACGCUCAAUGCAAUGUUAUGCUUCUUCCGUUUUAAAAAAUGCAGAGCUCCCACUGGGAAAAAAAAAAAAUUGUAUGAAUACGCUAGCCACGGGAAAAAUCACUUUGGUGGACACAUGACCUACCGCUCUCAUGUGAAGCGAUGAAGGACUGAAAUGUAGAAAACAUUGCUAGUCCUAACUGGCUAAUCACCCAGAAUGCAUUUUUGUGUUGAAAAAAAAAUGAGACGCAGGCAGCGGAAUGGGAAAAAAAACGAGACGCGAGUUAAACUUCUUUUAACUUGUGCGCCAAAUUUUUAGAAUGCUUACAUUGUAAACAUUCUAAAACAUCGUAAAGAACCUGUAAAGAACUACUCCUGUAAGUUUGAUAUUUCAUGUUUGCGUGAUAAUGACAGGCUGAAAGUGCUGUUAUUUUCUGUUUUUACAAAACAUUUACUGUUAAUAAUAGUCUACUACUGGUGUUAUACUUGUAGACAUUUUGAAUUUGAAUUGCCUUGACUUUUCAGGUUGACCUCUAAAACGAAACGUCUGCUUUUUGGCUAAGGAAUAUUUAGCAUUUUAUAUUAUUUCUGAACAAGUAGGAUAUGUUUGAGAUAAGUUUGUAUAAUAUUUGCCUUAAUAUUUCAUGUAUCUUUCCUGCAAAGAUAUUUAACAAGUCAUUUGUUUUACAUUUACACCAUGUUGAUCACUUCAGGUGUGCUCUUGGAAUAGAACCUUCUUUGACCAGAUGGUUAAUAAAGACUUGUUACUUAUAUGGUUAAUAAAUAAUGUUACUUGAAUCAUGUUGUAGUUAAGUUUUUAAGUUGACUAGUUAAACAUUAACAAAUCAAUCAAACGUUCUGAAAAAUAUCAAUAUAUAUAUAUAUAUAUAUAUAUAUUUUUUGUCAUAUCGCCCAGCGCUACAUCACACCAGUUUGUUCUUCAAUUGUGCUUGUAGCGUAAGACCGAGAGCAUGUGCUGACGUUGGGUCGAGUCUCACAGCUCAUUAAAAACAGCACUGGAGGCCCACAGCGCUUCACACCACAACCUCCUCUGCACACACAGCUGAUUCCCAAUUCCUGCUCUUUCUGUCUUAUUUCUUUCACUGCUCCACUUUGUGAGAGAUCUGGGGCUUGAAUGGCAUGUGUCAUUUGCAUUAGAUAUCUUCAAUACGGCACACAAAUGGUUAAUCUUGGCAAAGAUUAACUAGCACACACAGGGACUGGAGCGUGUCAAAUUCCCUGACCUGCCGCAGACCGCCCUCCUCUCUCGGUUAGUUUUGCACGUGCUAAACAUUCGCGUACAUCAGAGGGAACAAAACUAAUUAAAACAAAAGUUUCAGAGCUAAAAAUAAGCCUCAGCAUCUCUGGAGACAAGCUUGAUUUGACAUCAUUUUCACUACUACCAAUUCAGAACAGCAAGCAUUUGCACUCUGUCACUCUGAAUGUGUGAUGUGUCGAUGUGUCUCUCGGCUUGAUGUUACGCAGCAGCGUGGGUUUGUGGAACGAACCAUCUGAUCUGCAGCGAGAGGAGCUGCUGAUCGCUGUAUAGACUAUCCUGAACCCCCACAGCAGCCGCUGCGCUGCCCACUCACAACAGAGACGCCAAUCUGCCAUGAGAGACACGCCACUGCUGGGGAGUUCCAGCUGGGAUGAGGGUGGACUAGGACUUUCCUGUUAAGAAAAGCUAUCCUUAUUUUUUUUGUUUUUCAUGCUUGAAUGUUGAUUAUUUUCCUCAUAUUCUCCAUUGUUGCAGCUCCUCUCUUCCCAGUCUGUCAGUAACGCUCAGUUUAGUUCCUGUCUCUAUGAAGCCCCUCCUUCUGAAAAGCACAGUGUGCUCUGAUUGGUCGGCUGGAGCAGUGUGUUGUGAUUGGUGUUUGGAAAAUGUCCCACCCCUUACCAUAACCGCCAGGUUCAACACACUACUAACUAACUCAACCAGGCCCCGCCCCUUUAUUCUGCGUAUGAAUUAUUUAAAUGAGGAAUAUUGUGAAGAAAACUCAAGACUACAAUGGAGGCGUUUCAGGGAGUUCAGAAACACUGACACUGAUAUAGAGAAGAACUCCUGCUGGAGGGACUUUGCAGAGCUUUUUCAUGAUCAAACAGAAACAUUACACACUGAAGACAGAUAACCAUGGACAUAAAGCAGACUGGGUCCUGUAUAAGGCACAGUAGCAGAUCCAGCUGCAAUAAGAUAACAUUUUAUUUUAUCUGCAUCUCAAUUCAAGCUCAGUGCUUUAAUGUCAAAUUUCCAAUGAAUAAACAUGUAAUAUUAUUAGUAACUGCACUUAUUAAUGCAAAACAAUAGUAUAUGAUUACAUUACCUUUCUGAUUAAAAAAAACAAAAAAAACAAAAAAAAA